CAGCAAGUAACUGGAGACACACACUCAAACUUUUCAGUGAGAAUAUCCAUCUUAUCUCGAGGCUGUGACAUCAGCUUCAUUUUAGGAAAAUGAAUUUGAUUUUAUUUCAUCUCAUCAGGGCUGCUCUGGUCUCUGAACUGGAAUGGAAGCUGGCUGUCACCUUGAGCCUCAACUCCCUUGUUUACGCAGCUCUGUCAGUAGAACUUUCCACCAGGACUCCGACCCCAUCCCUGGCCAUCCAGUCAUGGUAGGGAGGGCAGUGGGAUAUUAUUCAGCUAGAAAAAGGGAUGGAAUUCUGACACGUGCUACGACAUGGAUGAACCUUGAAGACAGUGUGAUAAGUGAAGAAAAGCCGACACAAAGACUAUGUAUUGUAUGAUUCUACUUGGAGGAGAGAUCCAGAACAGGCAACUUCUGUAGAUAUAGAAAGUGGAUCACGGUUGCCAGGACUGACGAUGCGGGAAGGGGAAUGACUGCUAAUGAGUACAGGGUUUCUUUUUGGGCUGAUGGAAGUGUUCUGGUUUUACAACCUUGAGAAUAUGUUAAAAACCACUGAGUAACUGAGUAUGCACUUUAAAAUGGUGAAUCUUAUAGUAUGUGAAUUACAUCUCAAUGAAAUGGUAUCUACUUUAAAGGUAAAAAAACGCUAAUAAA
This is a long non-coding RNA of Neofelis nebulosa (Clouded leopard), 654 nucleotides long. RefSeq lists it as uncharacterized. The record is from RefSeq and is a predicted model, not a curated record. Lineage: Eukaryota; Metazoa; Chordata; Mammalia; Carnivora; Felidae. The transcript has 3 exons.